UGCGUGUGUUCUGAGGGCUACCAAGAG
This 27-nucleotide non-coding RNA is filed under the name Homo sapiens (human). Lineage: Eukaryota; Metazoa; Chordata; Mammalia; Primates; Hominidae. The record is from RNAcentral.